Long non-coding RNA from Phasianus colchicus (ring-necked pheasant), 2782 nucleotides. RefSeq lists it as uncharacterized. Lineage: Eukaryota; Metazoa; Chordata; Aves; Galliformes; Phasianidae. The record is from RefSeq and is a predicted model, not a curated record.
GCAGUUUCCUGUCUCCACAUCCCAAACUCGGAUGGAGGUGUCAAGAGAUCCGCUCACCACAUGGAUACCAUCAAACUACAAGAAAGUCCUCAGCCAUCUGAGUGUAGGCUAACACCAGUGACAACUGAAUACGAGCUUCCACUAGAAUGGAGAAAAAACACACAUACAGCAAAGUUGUUUUAAGACCAUCAUAGAGACAGCUGAUGCUAUUUUAAGAACUCAUGGAAGAUAGACAAGACUUCAGAUGGCAGGUACAAUUUCGCUCUUUAUUCAAGGACGGGAGAUGGGAGAAUAUGGAUCAGUCAGUGUAACUUCAAUUUACAGAAGGAACUAACAAAUAAUACCUGGUGCAAGGAUACUAUCAGUUCACAACGUAGCUCACAGAGUAGUUAGACACAUCAGUAAGAGCUCUGAAGGUCUGGCAUUUAGUAUUUUCAUUAGGAUUUGUGUGACAUUCAAAAUGAUAGAACCCGACCCAAAGCGAUGCAUGUAAAAGUCAAGAGAGAAUUAUGAGGAUCUGAGCUUGGCCAAGAAUACAUGAGGGUAAAACUGCAGCCUGGAAUAGCCAGAGCAAACUAACACUGUUUGUCCAUGUGGGCUUACUGGUAUCUUGUAACAGAGAAGAGAGAACCCAGCUAUCUGGCUGCUUCUUUUUGUAAAACCUCUUCAAUCUCAGAACAGCUUACAUCUCUACCUGUAGUCAUGGUUGAGUGGCACUUUGGUUCAGAAGCUCUAAGGAGCAAUUGGCACGUGCAGACUGCUGACUGGAAUACAUUGCAUGUCCAGUGAAAAUUUACUAAAAAACACACACUCUGGUAUCCAAAAUAGAGAUAUGCUAAACAAUACUCAUAAAAUAACUCUUCCAUUACAGCAAGCAUUGCUAAGACUUUAACGAGAAUUCUGCAUCCUGUUUUCUGCACUGUACUUCCAAGAAAGCAUGUGAAAUAAUUUGAGUUUGGAUAAAGGAAUCAGGAAUGAUGAGCAGCCAGCACACUUGUUGGGUGAAACACAACAGAAUGGACUUAAAGAAAGACUGAUGCAAAAAAAAAUAGACUCUUUUCUUCCUCUCCUCUCAUUUAACUAUAUUCUACAUGCAUAAAGUAUUCAGAAAGAGAGCUUUAAAGCUGAGCGUCAAGACAAACUACUUCAAUACUGCUGCAGUUAAACAGUGAUUCAUAUCAGAGGUUGUACUGUGUCUUGUGAGGCAACCUGAUUACUCUUAAAUUGUUGCAUAAAGAUCUCUAACAAUUGUUUGGGGGUCACAAAUGGGGAAAUACUAAAAUAUAAGAGAAUCUACUAUGGGGCAGGGGGUGGGGAAGACAGGUGUGCUGUUCAGCCUCAUUAUUCUAUUUAUGGGCUGUUUCAGCAGAAGCUCACCUUUCAAUUUCAACAAAUUGGAAUGUCCUAAAACUCUAAGUACCUGUAGCCUUCUGCCCCCUCCAAGUUCCACUUACAAGCUACAAAUACUACCAGCACGUGCAACAUAAUCCAAUUAUUUGACCCUUAAUUACUCUAUUAGUUGAGUAAGACAUGUAUAUUCACCAACUGGAACAAGAGCCACCAGUGAAGAUAAGGUAGAGCAACACACACCAUUCCCAAACUGCACCAGCUGAGAUAAAACCAUAAUAUGAGGUAGGUAGUGAAGCAUUUUUAACCUGUUUGCUGCUUGUCUCAAAUACUCCGCAGUGCAUGAAUGUAAGAGAAGAGAUGGUGACUUGAAAAAUAUAUAGUAAAAUUUAUCAAAAAAGAAAACCAUUUGAUCUAUUAUGGUGAAAAACACCUUUUCAGGAAAGCAUUUAAGAAAAAUGUCUGCAGCACAGAGCUUUUUUCUGUGCUGCAAACUAAACUAGUUACAUGCCGAAUGCAGUUUCCCAGUUGUGAACUGUAUUUGUUGUUAAUUUCUUUUUUGAGUCCUGCCAGAUUGCAAUGAGAACAGGCACAAGCAUGAAAUUAAUUUCUUUCUGCCUGGAAAUGAUGCUUUCACUCCGUGAAUGAACAAGAUGAUCUUUUGGAAUGGUAAAGGCAAGCACAGAAGUGAGAAGGAAUUAAUAUUAGUGGCACAGAUAAAGAAAAACCUCAGCAUUCUUCAAAAAUGAAGAAAUGUAACCAGCAGGCACUCUGACAACAGCACUACACCACAGCCAAGUAAAGCAGCUCUGCCAAUGUUGCUUAAAUCAAGACCUGAAUUUCUACUGCAGAAAUUAUGAUACAGUGCUUAUUUCCCUGGGAGUCUUUUAUUGCCCAUUCGUAGUACUGCUGAACCACCCUAUCUUCCUGACUGGGCAGGAGGCAGCGAAUCAACAUGGCUUAUGGAAUGCAUCCUCUUCUCUGAGCAAUCGAUUUCCACCUUCUUCUCCUACGCUGUGAAAUUUCUCUGUUAAUUUUCCUACAACUGACAUGAAAUCACAGUGCACGUUCUACACAACCAGUGUAGGUUUCUCUCCUGCAAGGCAAUGCUCAUCUCAGCUCUUAUUUGCUUUGGUCGUAUUUUGAAUAAAAGCUAUCCUUAACCAGGAAAAAUUAGUGUAUUUUAAAACCCAUAUACGUGUUAUACCUUAUGCAUAUUAAGUUCAAGCUUAAGUAGUCUAGUUUCAUUUCUAGUACUCCGCAGAUUACUUCUGCUUCCUACUUUUAACAAAGAUAGGCACUACGUAGCUCAAAGGACCCCUAGCUGUAAAUUUAAAGUCACCCAAAUUCCCUUCAUAAAACUUUAAGCUUAUUAUGUAAACGAGCUGCACUUUUUGACAGCAACACUUUGACCAUUACAUUCAUCUUUUUGCUC